UUGAUUCAUUUGUUUAUGAUUCCACUCAGACAUGCUAUAAAAAAGAUACAAGAGUUUGGGUCCCCCGGCGGGCGCCUGGGUCCGGGCCUCCCCCCCCGGGGGGGUUCGGGCGCCGGGGCGGUCCGCCGAAGCAACGUGAGGUAAGUUCACAGGGGUUUGGGAGUUGAUAACUCGGUAAUGAUCCCUCCGCUGGUUCACCAACGGAGA
Molecule: unclassified non-coding RNA, 207 nt
Filed under: uncultured fungus
Lineage: Eukaryota; Fungi
Description: sequence contains ITS1
Source: RNAcentral